This 252-nucleotide long non-coding RNA is filed under the name Theobroma cacao (cacao). RNAcentral's name for it is "long non-coding RNA (TCAC_LNC005991)". Lineage: Eukaryota; Viridiplantae; Streptophyta; Magnoliopsida; Malvales; Malvaceae. The record is from RNAcentral.
CUCAAUCCUUUCAUUACAUGUUCAAGUUCUUUUACUUUCUGCUCAAACACACAAUUGCACAUUAAAUGUCAAAUUCAGAAUCGAUUUGCAUGUGCUUGUCUACAUAAGCAGGCACAAAAAGACAUGUUUAUGUUUCUUGCAUUUGCUGCGGCUUGUUGCGCUUCACAAAAUUGAGUUUCUAGUUGGCAAACUUUUUGACCAGAGACCCUUUCAGAAUUUAGAUGAAAUACUAGUAUCAUGUGUUUAAAUUUC